RNAcentral lists this ribosomal RNA (468 nucleotides) under uncultured bacterium. RNAcentral describes it as "partial 16S ribosomal RNA". It matches the Rfam family "Bacterial small subunit ribosomal RNA", at positions 28 to 507 of the family's 1533-position model. The record is from RNAcentral.
GACGAACGCUGGCGGCGUGCUUAACACAUGCAAGUCGAACGGAAAGGCCCUGCUUUUGUGGGGUGCUCGAGUGGCGAACGGGUGAGUAACACGUGAGUAACCUGCCCUUGACUUUGGGAUAACUUCAGGAAACUGGGGCUAAUACCGGAUAUGAGCUCCUGCUGCAUGGUGGGGGUUGGAAAGUUUCGGCGGUUGGGGAUGGACUCGCGGCUUAUCAGCUUGUUGGUGGGGUAGUGGCUUACCAAGGCUUUGACGGGUAGCCGGCAUGAGAGGGUGACCGGCCACAUUGGGCCUGAGAUACGGCCCAGACGCCUACGGGAGGCAGCAGUGGGGAAUAUGGCACAAUGGGCGGAAGCCUGAUGCAGCAACGCCGCGUGCGGGAUGACGGCCUUCGGGUUGUAAACCGCUUUCGCCUGUGACGAAGCGUGAGUGACGGUAAUGGGUAAAGAAGCACCGGCUAACUACGUG